RNAcentral lists this ribosomal RNA (207 nucleotides) under uncultured bacterium. RNAcentral's name for it is "partial 16S ribosomal RNA". It matches the Rfam family "Bacterial small subunit ribosomal RNA", at positions 568 to 774 of the family's 1533-position model. The record is from RNAcentral.
UGCUCAGGUGGGUUUGCAAGUCAGAGGUUAAAUCCCAAAGCUUAACUUUGGAGCUGCCUUUGAUACUGCAAGUCUGGAGUUUGAGAGAGGGCAAUGGAAUAUCUGGUGUAGCAGUGAAAUGCGUAGAUAUCAGAUAGAACACCAAUGGCGAAGGCAGUUGCCUGGCUCAAAACUGACGCUAAAGCACGAAAGUGUGGGGAGCAAACA